GCUCAUUGUGGCCGAAAAUCACCAAGAGAAAAAGGAGAGAAAGUUCUUGGUUCAUAAAUCUUCAAAGCUUGAUUUCUUCUGAACUAAAACUCAAAUCAAAACUCCGAUUUCACCAAAAUGAUCCUCUCUUCUUCCUCUACAUAACCAUGUGACUUAUCAAGGCUGGAAAUAAGGAAUCAUGCUUAACUUGACUUGAGGGCCAAGAAACGUGACUUUCCAGAAAGUAUAAGGAAGAAAAAGUGCUUAAGGACCACCUGAAAGAGUAACCGGAUUUGAGGCAGCAAAUCAAGAUGGAAGUAAGAGUACCUUACCGUAGUUCGCUGAUGACCGUUCGCAAGAAGAGGAUUCUGCUCUAGAUAGUUUUCUGAGUCUAUGGUGAAUAUCGUUCUCUGUUUAUAUGUAUAUACUGUGAAACCAGCCAACGUCUACACCCCGUUCGUAUGCACACUUUAACCUAAAUCCUGUGUACGAGACUCCCGUUGUGUGGCUACUUGAUGAGAUACCAGAGGGACGCCCUAUGACAAUGUCUGAUCGUGCAGAGGAAUAGCAGAUGAUGUCCUACCUUUGGUGACGUUCACCUGACUUGAGUUUAGAAUACCUAGAACGUAUUUUUCCUCGCUUUGGUAGGUUAGAGGGACUAGAUGAGUAUAGAGUCUAGGCUAGCCUGGGCGCCAGCUUAGGGACUUCUUGAACAGGUCAGGGCCUAGGAUGUUGUAUGUAUAUAUAUGUAUAUAGUUAUUAUUUAGCUAUAUCUAGGGGUGUUUUAACUAACGGUCUAUGUUCUAAUAA
Arachis stenosperma is the source of this 789-nucleotide long non-coding RNA. RefSeq lists it as uncharacterized. Lineage: Eukaryota; Viridiplantae; Streptophyta; Magnoliopsida; Fabales; Fabaceae. The transcript has 4 exons. The record is from RefSeq and is a predicted model, not a curated record.